RNAcentral lists this ribosomal RNA (704 nucleotides) under Paenibacillus amylolyticus. Its description in RNAcentral is "bacterial SSU rRNA". It matches the Rfam family "Bacterial small subunit ribosomal RNA", at positions 79 to 767 of the family's 1533-position model. Lineage: Bacteria; Bacillati; Bacillota; Bacilli; Caryophanales; Paenibacillaceae. The record is from RNAcentral.
CUUGCUUCUCUGAUAGUUAGCGGCGGACGGGUGAGUAACACGUAGGCAACCUGCCCUCAAGCUUGGGACAACUACCGGAAACGGUAGCUAAUACCGAAUACUUGUUUUCUUCGCCUGAAGAGAACUGGAAAGACGGAGCAAUCUGUCACUUGGGGAUGGGCCUGCGGCGCAUUAGCUAGUUGGUGAGGUAACGGCUCACCAAGGCGACGAUGCGUAGCCGACCUGAGAGGGUGAUCGGCCACACUGGGACUGAGACACGGCCCAGACUCCUACGGGAGGCAGCAGUAGGGAAUCUUCCGCAAUGGGCGAAAGCCUGACGGAGCAAUGCCGCGUGAGUGAUGAAGGUUUUCGGAUCGUAAAGCUCUGUUGCCAGGGAAGAACGCUUGGGAGAGUAACUGCUCUCAAGGUGACGGUACCUGAGAAGAAAGCCCCGGCUAACUACGUGCCAGCAGCCGCGGUAAUACGUAGGGGGCAAGCGUUGUCCGGAAUUAUUGGGCGUAAAGCGCGCGCAGGCGGUCAUGUAAGUCUGGUGUUUAAUCCCGGGGCUCAACCCCGGAUCGCACUGGAAACUGCGUGACUUGAGUGCAGAAGAGGAGAGUGGAAUUCCACGUGUAGCGGUGAAAUGCGUAGAGAUGUGGAGGAACACCAGUGGCGAAGGCGACUCUCUGGGCUGUAACUGACGCUGAGGCGCGAAAGCGUGGGGA